UGCUUACAAUGAUGUGCUGGUUAAAAAAUGAGCUGAUCCGAUUUUACUGGCCUUAUUUGACUUUAUUUCUCUGUUUUGGUCUCCUCAUUUAUCCUUUUCCUUACAGAUCAAAUAGAUAUUAAAUGAAGAGCUCAAAAUUAUUUUAAAAAACAAUGUUGAAUCCAAAUUGCAGAUAUCUAUUCAGUAAAUCAUGCUAAGUAGAUAAGAUUCUUAUUUCUUCUUAUUUACCUAAAAAAAACCCCAAAAGCUGGUUGUGUUUUGGCUUCAGAAAGCGAGAUCUUGUAGUUGAGACAGGAUAGAAAUAGCCUUUAAAAGCUAAAUGAAAUGAAUAGUCUUGCAAAGGGAAAAAAAGAGGAAUUUUUCAUGAGUCCCUGGAAACCAGCAAAAAAGCAUCAAAACUGUUGUUUUCAGUAAUAAUUGUGAUUACUUGGUUAAAAUACCCCGUACGAGAAGCUUUCGAUGUUUUUUGUGCCUCUACAAGGAAAAUUAAAACAGAACACACAGCAUUGGGGCCAAUUUGUUUCCAAGGAAGUCAAUUAUUAAUACUGUAUUUAGUAUUUAAUGAACUAAGCCGAUGUAUGUGAAACGCUGCAGAGAUCUCCUUACCAGCGGAGAACAGGUGUUGAUAGAAGCUUUGCCCGUAUGUUUACCAGCUGAUUAGUACCCAUUAAAAUGAUAAUAAUCUAAUAAAAAUUACUUUAUGUCUAGUGAAAGUUGAAAGUCCCCUGUGUAUUGGAGAAUGAUUUUUUUUCUAUUGCAUGGCAGUGAUAGGAUUGAAGUGACAAGAAUCCACCCCCAAAGCAGCGUGAAUGUUCUGAAUUUCUAUGCCUUAGACUUUUCACUUCAAGUGUCCCUUUCUCCAAAGGUUGACUCUGGCAGUCAGGACACUUCACUGUUUUUCAUGGCUUCAAGGGAAGGACAGUUACCAACCCACCAAAAUCCUCUGGCAAUAGGAAAAGGAAUCAGAUCCUUAGUAAACGACACUACCUUGUCCAUCUUAGGAGACCAGAGGAGAAACUAUGGGUGUCCUGAAGGACUGUUCUGGGCUUUGGUUGUCCCAGACAGCCCCGAGCAGUUGCUAAGGAAACUCUGAGCCAUCUGUGAGCUGGCAGUUUCCUGGGAAACCCUUGAUUUCAGGCUAGCCGUAGUCAAAAUUGUUAUGAAUGUGAGGUCACAUCAUCCCCAGCCUCACACUUCUGACCCCUUCUCUUCAUGACGUGCUCCACUCAUUCUGUCUCAGCUGAGCCUUGCACACUUUACUCUUGCUCUUCUACCAAAAGCUGAACUCAGGAAAUUUUCAGGAAUUUGGUUAUACGGUAGGGUAGAGACUGAAAACUAAGGGUUAUUUGCGUUGUAACAGCAUCAAAUUCCUCCAACUGAUUAAGGGUCUCCUGGAGGAAAUUGGGGCAUUUGGCCAAGUACAGGUGACACAUUCGCCUGCCUCAUUUACCUGUAGCUUCCAGGACCCGGAUUACUACACAAUGGAGUCCCAGAAGAUACUGAGCUGGUACCGAAUUAACAGUUCUUAGAAUGAACUUCCGCUUGAUCUCAGGAUAGCAGCCUAAGCAGAAGGAGGAGGAAAUCUGGGGCAAAUGAUUACAAUAGCAGGAACUGUAAGAUAAAAUUUGAUGCUAUCUUUUCAGCACUCAACCAAUUCAGGUCUGAACUUUUAUCUCUAAUUUGUGAUUUAUUUGGCAAAUUCAUGCAAAUAAGUCCCCAAGUUAUCUGUCUAUUCUUAUUUGUUGUCUGUCCAAUACAUCUGGAUGAAAAUAUAAUUACAGUGAAAUCACAACAGUGAGCAAGAAGCCUCAAAAUCUCAUUAAAGAUAGAAUAUGCUUCCUUAGGAAAAUUUGUACAAAGUAUUAGGAUUUAGUGUAUAUAGAUUGAGUUUAAGUUACCUAAGAUUGUUUAGGGAACUGAUUUGAACAAGUGCUUUAUGGAUAACAAAUGGAAAGGAAUAAGAAGGGGCUUUUAUCAAGUCCCCUGGAUAUGCUGGAGUGAUGACUUCACUACUCUGUGAGUGGUAGAGGAGGAGUAAGGAAAGGGAGCACCCCCCAGACCACAGGAGCUCUCCUUGAGCCCAGGAAGAGUCAGUGGAUCUGUUGUCUUCCUCGGUGCACUGUAAGACUUGACCAGGUGGCUACAAGUAAAACAUUGUAGGGCACAGUUGACUAUUUACUGCUGGCCCUUUAUACAAGGCCAAUCUAUCCAGAGGCUAUUCCAUGGUUCUCAUAAAGGAAUAUACAACUAUGAACACUUGAAAGAGAACCCUCUGGGAUCUCUAUUCCUAACUAAGUGAUGUGACUUACUACUGGCUGCUGGAUCUUUUGGCCUUCAUGAUAUGUGGACACCACUUCUGAUUUCUUGGGCCUUAAUACUCCUGCCCAACUUUUGAUCUUGUCCACUUUUGUACUGGCAUCCUUUGUAGUUUUAGGUAAGCUCACCCUACUCCAGACUCAGAAUUUUGCCAUUCCUGAAGAAGGAGAGUUAUACAGAUAUGAUGUAGAUUAGUCCCCCUAGCUUAACCGUAAGGCUUUAGGCAAGUUCUAGAGACACGCUGGGUAACACAAUGGCCAUCAUUAAUGCUGAGUAUCAUACUUUCCAUCAUUUGGCUUCUAGAGGUGAUGGAAUAGGGACCCAGGGUUUUCCAGAAACCAAGAGUAAUUCUAAAAGGCAAGACCUUAAGGGACAUCCUCUUCUUUGGCCGUCAAAGCAACCGGAGCUGUCACUGGGAUUAGCAGACAGAGGAUCAUGAUGAUUGGGAUUGCGGUGCUUGAGACUGAUGUGGGGUGCACCCAGCAAGAAGAUACCAAGUAACCCCAGAUGGAGGAUGAAAGAGAAGAGAAAUGUCACUCCUAGCAUGAUUGAUCAAAAUGUGUUUUAUUAUUGGUAUUGGCGGUGAAUCAAACAUGCGACUUCACACACACAACGUAUUCUUUGGAGUACUGCUUCAGGGCAGUUCUCCACCUGCGCUCCCAGGAUCGUCACCUACAGCAGCAGCAGCACUUGGGAACUUGUUAGAAACAUUUCCUUUUUAAAUUAAGAUAAAAACUUUAUGUAAUGGGA
Molecule: long non-coding RNA, 3066 nt
Filed under: Equus caballus (horse)
Lineage: Eukaryota; Metazoa; Chordata; Mammalia; Perissodactyla; Equidae
Description: lncRNA (ENSECAG00000044686.1)
Source: RNAcentral